UACGGAAGGCAGCACUGGGGAAUAUUGCACAAUGGGCGCAAGCCUGAUGCAGCCAUGCCGCGUGUAUGAAGAAGGCCUUCGGGUUGUAAAGUACUUUCAGUCGUGAGGAAGGUGUUAAGGUUAAUAACCUUAGCAAUUGACGUUAGCGACAGAAGAAGCACCGGCUAACUCCGUGCCAGCAGCCGCGGUAAUACGGAGGGUGCGAGCGUUAAUCGGAAUUACUGGGCGUAAAGGGCACGCAGGCGGUUAAUUAAGUUGGAUGUGAAAUCCCCGGGCUUAACCUGGGAAUGGCAUUCAAGACUGGUUAGCUAGAGUCUUGUAGAGGGGGUAGAAUUCCAUGUGUAGCGGUGAAAUGCGUAGAGAUGUGGAGGAAUACCGGUGGCGAAGGCGGCCCCUGGACAAAGACUGACGCUCAUGUGCGAAAGCGUGGGGAGCAAACAGGGAUUAGAUACC
RNAcentral lists this ribosomal RNA (453 nucleotides) under uncultured bacterium. RNAcentral's name for it is "bacterial SSU rRNA". It matches the Rfam family "Bacterial small subunit ribosomal RNA", at positions 340 to 786 of the family's 1533-position model. The record is from RNAcentral.